GAUGAACGCUGGCGGCGUGCCUAAUACAUGCAAGUCGAGCGAACGGACGAGAAGCUUGCUUCUCUGAUGUUAGCGGCGGACGGGUGAGUAACACGUGGAUAACCUACCUAUAAGACUGGGAUAACUUCGGGAAACCGUAGCUAAUACCGGAUAAUAUUUUGAACCGCAUGGUUCAAAAGUGAAAGGCGGUCUUGCUGUCACUUAUAGAUGGAUCCGCGCUGCAUUAGCUAGUUGGUAAGGUAACGGCUUACCAAGGCAACGAUGCAUAGCCGACCUGAGAGGGUGAUCGGCCACACUGGAACUGAGACACGGUCCAGACUCCUACGGGAGGCAGCAGUAGGGAAUCUUCCGCGAUGGGCGAAAGCCUGACGGAGCAACGCCGCGUGAGUGAUGAAGGUCUUCGGAUCGUAAAACUCUGUUAUUAGGGAAGAACAUAUGUGUAAGUAACUGUGCACAUCUUGACGGUACCUAAUCAGAGCCACGGCUAACUACGUG
RNAcentral lists this ribosomal RNA (495 nucleotides) under uncultured bacterium. RNAcentral describes it as "partial 16S ribosomal RNA". It matches the Rfam family "Bacterial small subunit ribosomal RNA", at positions 28 to 507 of the family's 1533-position model. The record is from RNAcentral.